AACAAUGGAGCCAGGUGAUCAGAAGCAGCACUCAGCAAUCAGAGCACAGAUCCCCCAUAUUUGUAGAACAGGGUCCUUUUUGCCCUCCUUGGCUUCCACAAGCUGUGUGCAAGCUGCUCCAGGAAUACAUAACUAACUAUCCCAGGACUGGAGACUGUUUGGUGGGCUCGUCACUUGGAUGCAAGUGAAAUUUUGGUGCCGUGACUCGGAUUGGGAGACCUCCCUUGGGAGAUCAAUCCCGUCCUCCUGCUCUUUGCUCCAUGAGAAAGAUCCACCUACAAUCUCGGGUCCUUAGACUGACCAGCCCAAGGAACAUCUCACCAAUUUUGAAUCAGUACCCUGCUGAAAAUUGGACUAUUCAACUCACCUGGAAGCCACUUCCAGAACCCCUGGAACUCUGGCCCAAGGCUCUCUGACUGACUCCUUCCCAGAUCUUCUCGGCUUAGCAGCUGAAGACUGACACUGCC
This is a long non-coding RNA of Symphalangus syndactylus (siamang), 467 nucleotides long. RefSeq lists it as uncharacterized. NCBI's taxonomy places the organism in Eukaryota, Metazoa, Chordata, Mammalia, Primates, Hylobatidae. The record is from RefSeq and is a predicted model, not a curated record.